UACUUAUUGUCAAAAAUAGACUUUAUCGUUGCCAAGUACAAGUUCUUUUAUUUGUUUACAAAGUCGGAAUAAAGAUAAUAAGGUAAAAAGCAUUCCAGCGGUGUUGAGUAAAUCAACUUGAUCAACUCGUGAUGCAUACGUGUACGGCCAUUCGCUUAACGGAUUACCACACUGAGAAUGAAACACGAUUUUGCAUUUAUCUUGGUCGUUUCGGUGUUAACAUCAGAUAGCGCUGCCUUGACGAAUUCAACACUUAAAGUCGAGUGUGAUAAAUUGUUUGCAAUCACCUGUCCGCCAGAGCUUAACGGUACUUUCACCCUACGGCGGAAUGAGAUUCUGAUAACAAUCUGUAAAGCAAGUUCCGCAACGUGCAAUCCGUACACGCAGAAUUACAAUAACAGUUAUAACGGCAGUACAGGAGUAUUGGAGUUCUUCACGAUAGCUAACAAAUCGGAUGAACAUUUGACAUAUAGCUGUACGACAUCCUCUGGGGAAAGGUCAUCACUGGACAAUAGAAUUUAUUGAUGAAUCCUGUAACACUCCAGACGACAACAAAGGCAACAAUUUGCUGGGUGUACCGAUUGGCCUUACUCUCCUGGUUUAUUUUCUGGUCUCGUAUCCAUUCAUGAUUUUGAAAAAAAAAAAU
This is a long non-coding RNA of Dreissena polymorpha, 646 nucleotides long. RefSeq lists it as uncharacterized. The record is from RefSeq and is a predicted model, not a curated record. The transcript has 6 exons. Lineage: Eukaryota; Metazoa; Mollusca; Bivalvia; Myida; Dreissenidae.